UACGUAGGCAGCAAGCGUUGUUCGGAGUUACUGGGCGUAAAGGGUGCGUAGGCGGCUUUUUAAGUUUGGUGUGAAAUCUCCCGGCUCAACUGGGAGGGUGCGCCGAAUACUGAGAGGCUAGAGUGUGGGAGAGGAAAGUGGAAUUCCUGGUGUAGCGGUGAAAUGCGUAGAUAUCAGGAGGAACACCGGUGGUGUAAACGCUUCUGGACCAUAACUGACGCUGAGGCACGAAAGCGUGGGUAGCAAACAGG
This 251-nucleotide ribosomal RNA is filed under the name uncultured bacterium. RNAcentral describes it as "partial 16S ribosomal RNA". It matches the Rfam family "Bacterial small subunit ribosomal RNA", at positions 524 to 776 of the family's 1533-position model. The record is from RNAcentral.